GAGCAUAUGGUGUCACUGGUUCUCGCAUCUAAGUAGUAGCAUUCCAUUCAUGAGAUCAUAUCUAAACAUGCUUUUUAACUCCGGAAAUUGCUUUCUUUGUGAUACAUAUAUGUGAGCAUUCGUUUUCAUAUCUACAUCAAUCUUCUCACAUAUAACUAGUAUAGGGUGUGUAGUUAGAAAAUCUGAGUGAAAAUUGAGUGCAUAUCUUGUAAGGAAUUGAGCGAAUUCUCUGAUGUGAAAUAUAUAAGCACACAAAUUAAACCCUCUUUUUGACAAUUGUAGUAUAGAUGUAAGUAGGGUAUCGUUCUAGGCCGGGGAUUAGGAGGGAUUGCUAAUCUAUUUUAAAUUAAUUUAAAAAUAUUAAAUAAGACUCAAGGACACAAAACUAGGCUAAAAACUCUAAUAACUCGAAACACACUUAAAAUGACUCAAAAUAAUGAAAACAAUUAAAUUAAAUACUAGGAACUGAAAUGGACGGAAAUUAAAUUAAAAGACUAACAAUAAAGAA
Molecule: long non-coding RNA, 508 nt
Filed under: Malus domestica (apple)
Lineage: Eukaryota; Viridiplantae; Streptophyta; Magnoliopsida; Rosales; Rosaceae
Description: long non-coding RNA (MDOM_LNC019948)
Source: RNAcentral